This 490-nucleotide ribosomal RNA is filed under the name uncultured bacterium. RNAcentral describes it as "partial 16S ribosomal RNA". It matches the Rfam family "Bacterial small subunit ribosomal RNA", at positions 28 to 507 of the family's 1533-position model. The record is from RNAcentral.
GAUGAACGCUAGCUACAGGCUUAACACAUGCAAGUCGAGGGGUAGCAUGGUCUUAGCUUGCUAAGGCCGAUGGCGACCGGCGCACGGGUGAGUAACACGUAUCCAACCUGCCGUCUACUCUUGGACAGCCUUCUGAAAGGAAGAUUAAUACAAGAUGGCAUCAUGAGUCCGCAUGUUCACAUGAUUAAAGGUAUUCCGGUAGACGAUGGGGAUGCGUUCCAUUAGAUAGUAGGCGGGGUAACGGCCCACCUAGUCUUCGAUGGAUAGGGGUUCUGAGAGGAAGGUCCCCCACAUUGGAACUGAGACACGGUCCAAACUCCUACGGGAGGCAGCAGUGAGGAAUAGUGGUCAAUGGGCGAGAGCCUGAACCAGCCAAGUAGCGUGAAGGACGACUGCCCUAUGGGUUGUAAACUUCUUUUAUAAAGGAAUAAAGUCGGGUAUGGAUACCCGUUUGCAUGUACUUUAUGAAUAAGGAUCGGCUAACUCCGUG